GUCCGAUUUAGCCAUGAGAGUUGCACGUUUAACGUAGCAAACUGCUCAGUAACACGUGGCCAAACUGCCCUAUGGAUCGGUAUAACCUCGGGAAACUGAGGCUAAUCCCGAAUAGUGCAUCCAGCCUGGAACUGGCGGAUGUACGAAACGCCCCGGCGCCAUAGGAUGUGGCUGCGGCCGAUUAGGUAGACGGUGGGGUAACGGCCCACCGUGCCGAUAAUCGGUACGGGUCAUGAGAGUGAGAGCCCGGAGACGGACUCUGAGACACGAGUCCGGGCCCUACGGGGCGCAGCAGGCGCGAAACCUUUACACUGCACGACAGUGCGAUAGGGGGACACCGAGUGCGAGGGCAUAGAGCCCUCGCUUUUGUAGACCGUAAGGAGGUCUACGAAUAAGGGCUGGGCAAGACCGGUGCCAGCCGCCGCGGUAACACCGGCAGCCCGAGUGAUGGCCGAUAUUAUUGGGCCUAAAGCGUCCGUAGCUGGCCGCGCAAGUUCGUCGGGAAAUCCACUCGCUUAACGAGUGGGCGUCCGGCGAAAACUGUGCGGCUUGGGACCGGAAGAUCCAAGGGGUACGUCCGGGGUAGGAGUGAAAUCCCGUAAUCCUGGACGGACCACCGAUGGCGAAAGCACCUUGGAAGGACGGAUCCGACAGUGAGGGACGAAAGCUAGGGUCUCGAACCGGAUUAGAUACCCGGGUAGUCCUAGCCGUAAACGAUGCUCGCUAGGUGUGGCGCAGGCUACGAGCCUGCGCUGUGCCGUAGGGAAGCCGUGAAGCGAGCCGCCUGGGAAGUACGUCUGCAAGGAUGAAACUUAAAGGAAUUGGCGGGGGAGC
RNAcentral lists this ribosomal RNA (834 nucleotides) under haloarchaeon LDS1 M3.16. RNAcentral's name for it is "bacterial SSU rRNA". It matches the Rfam family "Archaeal small subunit ribosomal RNA", at positions 38 to 877 of the family's 1478-position model. The record is from RNAcentral. Lineage: Archaea; Methanobacteriati; Methanobacteriota; Halobacteria; Halobacteriales.